GCGCGAGUGGCGGAAUUGGCAGACGCGCUGGUCUCAGAAGCCAGUGAGGUAACACUCUUGGAGGUUCAAGUCCUCUCUCGCGCA
This 84-nucleotide transfer RNA is filed under the name Bacteroidota bacterium. Its description in RNAcentral is "Bacteroidetes bacterium (groundwater metagenome) tRNA-Leu". It matches the Rfam family "tRNA". Rfam says of the family: Transfer RNA (tRNA) molecules are approximately 80 nucleotides in length. Their secondary structure includes four short double-helical elements and three loops (D, anti-codon, and T loops). Lineage: Bacteria; Pseudomonadati; Bacteroidota. The record is from RNAcentral.